CCUACGGGUGGCUGCAGUGGGGAAUAUUGCACAAUGGGGGAAACCCUGAUCCAGCGACGCCGCGUGAAGGAAGAAGUAUUUCGGUAUGUAAACUUCUAUCAGCCGGGAAGAAAAUGACGGUACCUGACUAAGAAGCCCCGGCUAACUACGUGCCAGCAGCCGCGGUAAUACGUAGGGGGCAAGCGUUAUCCGGAUUUACUGGGUGUAAAGGGAGCGUAGGCGGUUUAGUAAGGCAGAAGGGAAAGGCCCGCGCUCAACGUGGGAACUGCCUUUGAAACUGGCAAACUGGAGUGUGUGAGAGGAUAGUGGAAUGCCAGGUGUAGGAGUGAAAUCCGUAGAUAUCUGGAGGAACACCAGUGGCGAAGGCGACUAUCUGGCACAUAACUGACGCUGAGGAGCGAAAGCGUGGGUAGCAAACAGGAUUAGAUACCCUUGUAGUC
Molecule: ribosomal RNA, 440 nt
Filed under: uncultured bacterium
Lineage: Bacteria
Description: partial 16S ribosomal RNA
Rfam family: Bacterial small subunit ribosomal RNA
Source: RNAcentral